Molecule: transfer RNA, 84 nt
Filed under: Armatimonadota bacterium
Lineage: Bacteria; Bacillati; Armatimonadota
Description: tRNA-Leu
Rfam family: tRNA
About the family: Transfer RNA (tRNA) molecules are approximately 80 nucleotides in length. Their secondary structure includes four short double-helical elements and three loops (D, anti-codon, and T loops). Further hydrogen bonds mediate the characteristic L-shaped molecular structure. tRNAs have two regions of fundamental functional importance: the anti-codon, which is responsible for specific mRNA codon recognition, and the 3' end, to which the tRNAs corresponding amino acid is attached (by aminoacyl-tRNA synthetases). tRNAs cope with the degeneracy of the genetic code in two manners: having more than one tRNA (with a specific anti-codon) for a particular amino acid; and 'wobble' base-pairing, i.e. permitting non-standard base-pairing at the 3rd anti-codon position.
Source: RNAcentral
GGGCGAGUGGCGGAAUGGCAGACGCAGCGGACUUAAAAUCCGCCGCCGCAAGGCAUGAGGGUUCGACUCCCUCCUCGCCCACCA